AAUGGUUAUAGCUCAGCAGCAGAGCAACUGCUUUGCAUGCAGAAGGCUCCACGUUCAAUCCUUGGUAUCUUGA
Molecule: non-coding RNA, 73 nt
Organism: Podarcis lilfordi (Lilford's wall lizard)
Lineage: Eukaryota; Metazoa; Chordata; Lepidosauria; Squamata; Lacertidae
Source: the annotation of a GenBank genome assembly